GCAUGUCUAAAAGAGAAGAUCAAAAUCAAUGUGGAAAAAAAACUCUCAUCAAGGAAAAAGGGGAGGAAAAGAAGAGGCAUACAUAUGGACAAGACACCUAAAAAGGAAGCAAAUAGACCUCGAACAACUUCACUCAAGGAAAAGUUAUAUUUACAAACCUAUUCAGCGAGAAGGUAAGUUGGGUCCAAAGGCUUGACAGUGUCUGGAAAAUCUGUUCUUUGUCCGGCAAGAGAAUAGUAGGCAAGUAUAUGGGCUGGAUGCUCCGAGACUACAGUUUCUGCAUUAUUUCCAUCGUUGGCAAUAACUCGUCUUGCAGGAAUCAAUUCAAUAUUCCAGAAUGGGCGAGCCAUCGCUAAGAGAUCACGACCAGCUGAAGAUGCCCUGUAUCCUUGUACCCAUAGAUACCUUAACGAUUUUAGCUGCAAGGUAGCCAAGGCUAAUGCACGUUCACUGAAACAGCAGCCUCUCACUUCUAGCUUUUGCAGGCUCGGACAUCCUUUAGAGAACUCCAGAAGGCCAUGAUCGGAUUCCCCAACGUAUCCCAGAAGCAUCCAUCUCACGUUUGGGCUGUAUUGCCCGACAUAACUGAGACCUACAUCAGUAAGGCCCCCAGGCCGGACAUAGAGGGCAAAUCUUCUAAGAUUAUGGCAACCUCUUAGUAAAG
This 664-nucleotide unclassified non-coding RNA is filed under the name Hevea brasiliensis (rubber tree). Lineage: Eukaryota; Viridiplantae; Streptophyta; Magnoliopsida; Malpighiales; Euphorbiaceae. The record is from RNAcentral.